UACGUAGGGCGCGAGCGUUGUCCGGAAUUAUUGGGCGUAAAGAGCUCGUAGGCGGUCUGUCGCGUCGGAUGUGAAAGCCCGGGGCUUAACCCCGGGUCUGCAUUCGAUACGGGCAGACCAGAGUGUGGUAGGGGAGAUCGGAAUUCCUGGUGUAGCGGUGAAAUGCGCAGAUAUCAGGAGGAACACCGGUGGCGAAGGCGGAUCUCUGGGCCAUUACUGACGCUGAGGAGCGAAAGCGUGGGGAGCGAACAGG
This 253-nucleotide ribosomal RNA is filed under the name uncultured bacterium. RNAcentral's name for it is "partial 16S ribosomal RNA". It matches the Rfam family "Bacterial small subunit ribosomal RNA", at positions 524 to 776 of the family's 1533-position model. The record is from RNAcentral.